AGGUCCACUUGGAGCUCUUCGCAAUCCUUUGUGGUUCUCACCACCCUACAUAAUUUGGUAUCAUCUGCAAACUUGGCCACCACGCUACCCACCCCUACUUCCACGCUACCCACCCCUACUUCCUCACCAGUACAUCAGCGAGAGAGCAUAUAUCACCUGUGCUCUGGCAGCUGUCGUGGUUGCUGGGAGAAUCCCAAACCAGGUUCAAAGUUUUGCCAAUGACUUUCCAGGCUCUGAGCGGUCUGUGACCAUCAUAUUUGCAGAAGUGCAUUACCCCAUAUUGCCUGUGGAGUCAUCUGAUUAAAAUCUUAUGGUUGUCCCUGGCCGCAGGGAUGUGCAAUUGGUCUCAGUCAGAACCAGGGCUGUUUCUGCCCUGGCUCCAGCCUGGUGGAACUCUUUGUCAGCUGACACCAGGAUGCUGCAGUACCUUAAAUCAGAGUUCGACACCCCUGCCUUAAACAGUUCCACAGGGCCCGUAAGACAGUGAUAUUCCACUGGGUCUUUGGUUAAAGCCACUCCUGUGUCCUGGCAUCAUCCGCCAGCCUUCCCAAAACAAGGCACUUACUUAAUGACUGUCAAUUGCCCCUUUUUUCUGAUUUGGCCCAUGCUGGGAUUAUGUUAGGAGGAUCCAUACCAAGCUGGGCCGGAUUGGUAGAUUGUAGGCUAGAUUUUUCAGCAUCUUGAUUGUAGUGUUUUUAGUCUGUUUUAAUGACGAGUAGGUUGUUGAUAUUAUGUAUCAGUAAGUUGCUUUAACAUGUCUGUGCGCCCCACUGAGCCUGACCUUGGUCGGGGAAGGCGAGAUAUAAAUUUAAUAAAAUAAUUGAAUGAAUACAAA
Molecule: long non-coding RNA, 835 nt
Organism: Sphaerodactylus townsendi
Lineage: Eukaryota; Metazoa; Chordata; Lepidosauria; Squamata; Sphaerodactylidae
Exons: 2
Source: RefSeq, a predicted model, not a curated record